RNAcentral lists this ribosomal RNA (839 nucleotides) under uncultured bacterium. Its description in RNAcentral is "bacterial SSU rRNA". It matches the Rfam family "Bacterial small subunit ribosomal RNA", at positions 9 to 832 of the family's 1533-position model. The record is from RNAcentral.
GAGUUUGAUCCUGGCUCAGGAUGAACGCUAGCGACAGGCUUAACACAUGCAAGUCGAGGGGCAGCGGGGCAGGAAGCUUGCUUUCUGCCGCCGGCGACCGGCGCACGGGUGAGUAACACGUAUGCAACCUGGCCGUGACAGAUGGAUAACCGGGAGAAAUCCCGCCUAAUACAGCAUGACGCCGGGAAGGGACAUCCCUUUCCGGCCAAAGGGGGCGACUCCGGUCACGGAUGGGCAUGCGGCGCAUUAGGUAGUUGGUGGGGCAACGGCCCACCAAGCCGACGAUGCGUAGGGGUUCUGAGAGGAAGGUCCCCACAUUGGAACUGAGACACGGUCCAAACUCCUACGGGAGGCAGCAGUGAGGAAUAUUGGUCAAUGGCCGGAAGGCUGAAACAGCCAAGUCGCGUGAGGGAAUAAGGCCCUACGGGUCGUAAACCUCUUUUGCCAGGGAGCAAUGCCGUCCACGUGUGGACGGAAGGAGAGUACCUGGAGAAAAAGCAUCGGCUAACUCCGUGCCAGCAGCCGCGGUAAUACGGAGGAUGCGAGCGUUAUCCGGAUUUAUUGGGUUUAAAGGGUGCGUAGGCGGCCUGCCAAGUCAGCGGUAAAAUUGCGGGGCUCAACCCCGUACAGCCGUUGAAACUGCCGGGCUCGAGUGGGCGAGAAGUAUGCGGAAUGCGUGGUGUAGCGGUGAAAUGCAUAGAUAUCACGCAGAACCCCGAUUGCGAAGGCAGCAUACCGGCGCCCGACUGACGCUGAGGCACGAAAGUGSGGGGAUCAAACAGGAUUAGAUACCCUGGUAGUCCGCACAGUAAACGAUGAAUGCUAGCUGUCCGGGGGGA